This 1623-nucleotide ribosomal RNA is filed under the name Triticum aestivum (bread wheat). Its description in RNAcentral is "partial small subunit ribosomal RNA". The record is from RNAcentral. Lineage: Eukaryota; Viridiplantae; Streptophyta; Magnoliopsida; Poales; Poaceae.
AUGGCGGGGCCGGCGGGAGGGCGGGAACUGCCGGACACGCCGACGUGGGCGGUGGCGCUCGUCUGCGCCGUUAUGAUACUCGUCUCCGUCGCCAUGGAGCACGCCCUCCACAACCUCGGCCACUGGUUCCACAAGCGGCACAAGAAGGCCAUGGCGGAGGCGCUGGAGAAGAUGAAGGCGGAGCUCAUGCUGGUGGGCUUCAUAUCCCUGCUCCUCACCGUGGCGCAGGACCCCAUCUCCAAGAUAUGCAUCUCCGUGGAGGCCGGCAGCAGGAUGCUCCCGUGCAAGCUGCCCUCUGCUUACGCCGGCGACGGCCAGGAGAACCGCCGAAGGCUCCUCUGGCUCCAGGGCGAGACCCACCGCCGGUUCCUGGCCGCCCCGGCCGGAGAGGACGUCUGCGCCAAACAGGGCAAGGUGGCGCUGAUGUCGGCGGGGAGCAUGCACCAGCUGCACAUAUUCAUCUUCGUGCUCGCCGUCUUCCACGUCCUGUACAGCGUCGCCACCAUGGCUCUCAGCCGUCUCAAAAUGAAGCAAUGGAAGAAGUGGGAGUCGGAGACUGCAUCGCUGGAGUAUCAGUUCGCCAACGAUCCAUCGCGGUGCCGGUUCACGCACCAGACGACGUUCGUGAGGCGGCACCUGGGCCUGUCCAGCACCCCCGGCGUCAGAUGGGUGGUGGCCUUCUUCAGGCAGUUCUUCACGUCGGUGACCAAGGUGGACUACCUGACGCUGCGGCAGGGCUUCAUCAACGCGCAUCUCUCGCAGAAGAGCAGGUUCGACUUCCACAGGUACAUCAAGAGGUCGCUGGAGGACGACUUCAAGGUCGUCGUCGGCAUCAGCCUCAAGCUCUGGUUCGUGGCGGUGCUCAUCCUCUUCCUUGAUUUCCACGGGAUCGGCACUCUUAUCUGGAUGUCUGUGGUUCCUCUCGUGAUCCUCUUGUGGGUCGGGACCAAGCUCGAGAUGGUGAUCAUGGAGAUGGCCCGGGAGAUCCAGGACCGGGAGAGCGUCGUCAAGGGGGCUCCCGCCGUCGAGCCCAGCAACAAGUACUUCUGGUUCAACCGCCCCGACUGGGUCCUCUUCCUCAUACACCUCACACUCUUCCAGAACGCGUUUCAGAUGGCACAUUUCGUGUGGACAGUGGCCACGCCCGGCUUGAAGAGAUGCUACCAUCAGAAAAUGGGAGUGAGCAUCGCCAAGGUGGUGCUGGGGGUGGCCGCCCAGAUCAUGUGCAGCUACAUCACCUUCCCCCUCUACGCGCUUGUCACACAGAUGGGCUCACACAUGAAGAGAAGCGUCUUCAACGAGCAGACGGCCAAGGCGCUGACCAACUGGCGAAAGGUGGCGAAGGAGAAGAAGAAAGCCCGAGACGCGGGCUUGCUGAUGGCGCAGAUGGGCGUCGGCUCGUCGCCGGUGCACCUGCUCCACAAUGCCGGGGCGCGGUCCGACGAUCCCCAGAGCGUGCCGGCGUCGCCGAGGGCCGAGAAGGAGGGCGGGGGUGUGUGGUGUCCGGCUGCGGCGCGUCCGGCGCGCAGGGUGCCUCCUUGUGACGGGUGGAGGUCGGCCUCGUCGCCGGCCCUCGACGCUCACAUGACCGGUGCAGAUUUGUGCUUCAGCACGCAACGUUGA